GUGGGGAAUCUUGCGCAAUGGGCGAAAGCCUGACGCAGCAACGCCGCGUGCGGGAUGAAGGCCUUCGGGUUGUAAACCGCUUUCAGCAGGGACGAAAAUGACGGUACCUGCAGAAGAAGCUCCGGCUAACUACGUGCCAGCAGCCGCGGUAAUACGUAGGGAGCAAGCGUUGUCCGGAUUUAUUGGGCGUAAAGAGCUCGUAGGCGGUUUCGUAAGUCGAGUGUGAAAAAUCUGGGCUUAACCCAGUGGAGCACUCGAUACUGCGAUGACUUGAGUCUGGUAGAGGAGUGUGGAAUUCCUGGUGUAGCGGUGAAAUGCGCAGAUAUCAGGAGGAACACCAACGGCGAAGGCAGCACUCUGGGCCAGUACUGACGCUGAGGAGCGAAAGCGUGGGGAGCAAACAGGAUUAGAAACCCUGGUAGUCC
RNAcentral lists this ribosomal RNA (425 nucleotides) under uncultured bacterium. Its description in RNAcentral is "bacterial SSU rRNA". It matches the Rfam family "Bacterial small subunit ribosomal RNA", at positions 354 to 796 of the family's 1533-position model. The record is from RNAcentral.